RNAcentral lists this ribosomal RNA (459 nucleotides) under Escherichia coli. RNAcentral describes it as "bacterial SSU rRNA". It matches the Rfam family "Bacterial small subunit ribosomal RNA", at positions 1 to 456 of the family's 1533-position model. The record is from RNAcentral. Lineage: Bacteria; Pseudomonadati; Pseudomonadota; Gammaproteobacteria; Enterobacterales; Enterobacteriaceae.
AAAUUGAAGAGUUUGAUCAUGGCUCAGAUUGAACGCUGGCGGCAGGCCUAACACAUGCAAGUCGAACGGUAACAGGAAGCAGCUUGCUGCUUUGCUGACGAGUGGCGGACGGGUGAGUAAUGUCUGGGAAACUGCCYGAUGGAGGGGGAUAACUACUGGAAACGGUAGCUAAUACCGCAUAACGUCGAAAGACCAAAGAGGGGGACCUUCGGGCCUCUUGCCAUCGGAUGUGCCCAGAUGGGAUUAGCUAGUAGGUGGGGUAACGGCUCACCUAGGCGACGAUCCCUAGCUGGUCUGAGAGGAUGACCAGCCACACUGGAACUGAGACACGGUCCAGACUCCUACGGGAGGCAGCAGUGGGGAAUAUUGCACAAUGGGCGCAAGCCUGAUGCAGCCAUGCCGCGUGUAUGAAGAAGGCCUUCGGGUUGUAAAGUACUUUCAGCGGGGAGGAAGGGAGUA